Long non-coding RNA from Ictalurus punctatus (channel catfish), 684 nucleotides. The record is from Ensembl. NCBI's taxonomy places the organism in Eukaryota, Metazoa, Chordata, Actinopteri, Siluriformes, Ictaluridae.
GAGAACUGUGCAGUGGUUAAUAACGGACUGUUCUACGAUGAACAAUGCACCAACCUGCACUAUUUCUUCUGUCACACCAUUUACCCAGCGAGGGGUCAGAUAAUCAGACUGCAGGUGAAGUCUGAUGGGAGUGUGUUUGAUCCUGCUGUGCAGUCGUCCAUUUUAGAUCAGAUCAAACAGAAACUGGAGGAAAAAGGCAUGUUGGAGAACACCACAGUGACCUGGAAGGUGCAGCCAGAUGGAAACAUCUUCCACAAGAAAAAGGAUGAUCUGUAACGUCUAAACGCUCACCUUCAAGUCGAGCAGAUUUCAAACUGACUGAAAUUUUAUUUAACCUACAACAUUUAAGCUUUAAUCAGUAGGCAGUGUCAGAGGACAAGAUUAGCCAGAAGUAGAGGAAUAAACGUAUUUAAUUGCUCUGAUUGGAACACGCCCACUUUGACUUUGCAACUGAAAUUUUAAAGUCAGAUUUCACUGCAACUUUUUAAUAUUGAACAUGUUCAGCUUUUGCUGCAAGAGGCCACUGAACACAGUGAUAAGGAGAAAGUCAGAGAGGGUAUGUUCAAUACUGGGUUUAAUGCAUCAGUGUGUUGUAGUAAAGAAUAAUUCUUAUAUAGAAUAUAGUGAAUGUAACAGAACCUGUAAAUACACUGUGUGUACUCUGAACAGUCAUAUAUAAUGCAC